AGACGUAUCUUAUUGGUCUAUAGCGCCGCUCCUGCAACCGUCUGUAAUCCUACAGGGCAUCGCCCCAUUGCCAAUGUUAGACGAAAACAGCGUUGGAAUUCAAUGGGAACUGAAGAAAGAAACCAUUUUAGUUGUUGAUAACAUGUUGAUCGUUCAUAGGCGUUGUGACAAGGAUCAACAGAAGCACCGAUCUGGAUGCAUGAUCUGGAUGCAUGAUCAGGUUGCAUGUGUAUAGUUCAUCAUCUGCUGCCUGCCCCGCAGGUGUUUUCCGGACACGGGUGCUUCUCCUAAUUUCUCUCUAGCCCAUUGACAACAGUGUCUUCUGCCUGUGAUGUUUGAGCGAAUACUAUACUCGUGUAAUAGAUGCCUUCUUAUCAUAAGUGUGAAAUUAAAUUGUAAUUGUAUCGAUCUUUGUUUUAGCAACUUAAAUUAUAAAUUAAGUUGACCCACAUUUUUAUUUAUAAAUAUGUGUAGAGUGUUUAAAA
Molecule: long non-coding RNA, 485 nt
Organism: Helianthus annuus (common sunflower)
Lineage: Eukaryota; Viridiplantae; Streptophyta; Magnoliopsida; Asterales; Asteraceae
Exons: 2
Source: RefSeq, a predicted model, not a curated record